Saccostrea cuccullata (small rock oyster) is the source of this 742-nucleotide long non-coding RNA. RefSeq lists it as uncharacterized. The record is from RefSeq and is a predicted model, not a curated record. The transcript has 3 exons. NCBI's taxonomy places the organism in Eukaryota, Metazoa, Mollusca, Bivalvia, Ostreida, Ostreidae.
CCGUCCGUCCGUCUGUUCUUACGAGAGGUACAUUGUGGGGUAAAAUUAACGUAUUUUCCAGCAGUGUGGGGUUUUUUGGGUACUGUGGGGUUAACCCCAUAAUGAAGAGGUCUAAUUACGUUCAAAAUUACUCUAUGAGGUCGAAAAACCUAAAAUUAGAUUUAACCUCACAAAGACUUUGUCCAAAUUUUGGACAUGUCCUUAGCCCAAAACGCUCAGACAUUCAGAAAUCUGCUGUUUAGAGGAGUUCGGUAAUUGAAUCGAGGAGUUCCGAAUACCUGAGCAUGCGCAUAUAUUUAAAACUAACUGCGCAUGCGCAGAAUACGGAAGUAGCUGUGUUUGGAUUAGCAGUGAGGAAAUUCGGAAACACAAAAAGCAAAUGCAAGUUCAGAUACUGAAAGUGAACAUAAGUGGAACUUUGAUGAUCUAGGCCGCUCUAUUUUUGCAGCAACACCAGCAGGCGUCGGACAUUCAUAAAGUUGAAAGAACAAACCUAUGACUUGAACACACAAUUUGUGAUCUGAAUAUAGUUCACAAAUUUAAGGAAAGCAACUAUCAAAGACAUUCAGAUUGAUGGUAUACAUGAAGUAUGAAUGAAAGACUUUUCAGAAGAACAAGCACAAUCCGGAUUCAUUCUUGCCAUUGUCUUCUCCAGACGGCGACAUUUAGGACCUGACUUACUUUUCAGAAAAAGAAGAUGAAUCGAUUUUUGAUAGUUGAUCUUAAAAAGAUAACAUUUUCA